UAGAUAAAGCAGAACUAUAUAAUUAUAAUACUUAGUAAAUAUUGAAUUACAAUCUCUGUGGGUUCGACACUCUUAGCUAAUUUACUAUAUUACAAAACUUGACAUUGUACACUUGCGGUAUAAAUCACUUUAUAGAAAACACGUGGCAAAAGUCUAGCAUAAAUUAAAUCAAAAGACACCCUCUCUGGAAAACACUUCAUAGGUAUAACAACACACAUCCCUCUUGGGGUUAUGUUUGGUCGAGUGUCAUGUUGGAAUUAUCCAUUACUCAAACUAAGCCAUUUCAUUUUCUUUAUAUCUCAAGUAUUCUAGCCUACAAAUAAACAGUCGAUCUAAGGCUUCAAAGAUUGAGCCUAACUCUUCUUGUAGGAUUGUAAUGGUCUAUAAUACAAUUUCUAAUGCUAAGAAGCACCAGAAGAGGCAAUAGUAGAGCAUACUCAUGUAACUACUCGAAUAGUUGAUUAGCAUGACUUAUAUAAGACUAAUAAUAGAAUUCUAAAUGCUAGUGAGAAAACAGAGAGAUUUAGAAACUCGUGUAGGGAUGGUAGUGGUGUGGGUUUUGGGCGGGGUAGUGGCUUGCCCCAUUUGUUUCUCAAUUUGUUUGUUUUUUAAUAUUUAUAUUUUAAAAAAUUUCUUUUUCAAUAACAUUAAAUAAUCCUCUUUGUUGGGGAAAAGAUGGGAUCGAAUAAAUGGAGCACAAGCCCUAAGACUUCUUCCUAAGGGUACUAAGCUGAAGGUAAUACUCUUGACUAGCACAUUAUAUACAGCAGUAUGAAAUAUGUUUCUACUUGCAUCUUUUAGGUUUUCUAUGUUCAUUGGGACGAAUGAGAAAUGUAAUACAUUUUUGUUUGGAAUCUCUCUCUUGGCAAAAACUGCUUCUUCCCGAUAGUAAAUGCUUAUUGAACUUUUCCAUCAUGGAAAAAAAUUCCUUCAACUUUUCCAUCAUGGAAAAAAAUUCCUUCUGUGUUCUCUGCAGAACUUGCUUCCUUUUCUUGGACCGCUUUUAAGAAAUGCUAGUGAAGCAUAUCGGAACUUUUUAGUGAUAAAGAGCUUGAGAGAGAGUGAAAACCUACACGGAACUUGCUUAUCCAAAAAUAGCUUCUCUUGGGCUAAUUUUUGAGAAAAUCUUUUAAUUUGUCACGGGACAAAUUCGAGGCUCAAAGUUCGGGCAGGGCUGAUUAUUUUGCCAGUUCUAAACUCAUGAGAUUAUAAAACUGAAGAGUUUCUUUUUGUUUUUUUGAUGAUCUUACAAUGGAGGAGGAAUGCUCCUAAUAUAGAGGAGGG
Molecule: long non-coding RNA, 1284 nt
Filed under: Olea europaea (common olive)
Lineage: Eukaryota; Viridiplantae; Streptophyta; Magnoliopsida; Lamiales; Oleaceae
Description: long non-coding RNA (OEUR_LNC001822)
Source: RNAcentral